GAGUUUGAUCCUGGCUCAGGAUUAACGCUAGCGGUAGGCCUAACACAUGCAAGUCGAGGGGUAACGAUGGUAGCUUGCUACCAGGCGACGACCGGCGAACGGGUGAGUAUCGCGUAUGUAAUCUGCCCUUAACUAGAAAAUAGCCCGGAGAAACCCGGAUUAAUAUUCUAUAAUAAUAUAAUGAGGCAUCUCUUUGUAUUUAAAGCUCCGGCGGUUAAGGAUGGGCAUGCGUACCAUUAGUUUGUUGGUGAGGUAACGGCUCACCAAGACUACAAUGAUUAGGGGGUCUGAGAGGAUGAUCCCCCACACUGGUACUGAGACACGGACCAGACUCCUACGGGAGGCAGCAGUGAGGAAUAUUGCGCAAUGGAGGAAACUCUGACGCAGCCAUACCGCGUGCAGGAUGACAGUCCUACGGAUUGUAAACUGCUUUUAUAUGGGAAGAAACCCUGGAACGUGUUCCAGGCUGACGGUACCAUAAGAAUAAGGACCGGCUAACUCCGUGCCAGCAGCCGCGGUAAUACGGAGGGUCCAAGCGUUAUCCGGAUUUAUUGGGUUUAAAGGGUCCGCAGGCGGGAUUCUAAGUCAGUGGUGAAAUCCUACAGCUCAACUGUAGAACUGCCAUUGAUACUGGUAUCCUUGAGUGUAGUUGAAGUAAGUGGAACGUGUUAAGUAGCGGUGAAAUGCAUAGAUAUAACACGGAACACCAAAAGCGAAGGCAGCUUACUAAACUAUCACUGACGCUCAUGGACGAAAGCGUGGGGAGCGAACGGGAUUAGAUACCCUGGUAGUCCACGCCGUAAACGAUGAUCACUAGCUAUUGGCGACAUAAUGUCAGUGGCAAAGCGAAAGUUUUAAGUGAUCCACCUGGGGAGUACGUUCGCAAGAAUGAAACUCAAAGGAAUUGACGGGGGCCCGCACAAGCGGUGGAGCAUGUGGUUUAAUUCGAUGAUACGCGAGGAACCUUACCAGGGCUUAAAUGCAACAUGAAAGAUUGGGAAACCAAUUUAUAGUUACGUGUUGCAAGGUGCUGCAUGGUUGUCGUCAGCUCGUGCCGUGAGGUGUCGGGUUAAGUCCCAUAACGAGCGCAACCCUCGUCCUUAGUUGCCAGCGAGUAAUGUCGGGGACUCUAAGGAGACUGCCAGCGUAAGCUGAGAGGAAGGUGGGGAUGACGUCAAAUCAUCACGGCCCUUAUGUCCUGGGCUACACACGUGCUACAAUGGUCAAUACAAUGGGAUGCCAUCUAGUGAUAGAGAGCUAAUCUCAAAAGUUGAUCUCAGUUCGGAUUGAAGUCUGCAACUCGACUUCAUGAAGCUGGAAUCGCUAGUAAUCGGAAAUCAGCAACGUUCCGGUGAAUACGUUCCCGGGCCUUGUACUCACCGCCCGUC
This 1388-nucleotide ribosomal RNA is filed under the name uncultured marine bacterium. RNAcentral describes it as "bacterial SSU rRNA". It matches the Rfam family "Bacterial small subunit ribosomal RNA". The record is from RNAcentral.